RNAcentral lists this ribosomal RNA (741 nucleotides) under uncultured Methanofollis sp. RNAcentral's name for it is "bacterial SSU rRNA". It matches the Rfam family "Archaeal small subunit ribosomal RNA", at positions 87 to 834 of the family's 1478-position model. Lineage: Archaea; Methanobacteriati; Methanobacteriota; Methanomicrobia; Methanomicrobiales; Methanomicrobiaceae. The record is from RNAcentral.
UGCUCAGUAACACGUGGACAACCUGCCCUGAGGUGGGGGAUAACUCCGGAAAACUGGAGAUAAUACCCCAUAGUCUAUGAAUGCUGGAAUGCUUUGUAGGCGAAAGGUCAGCCGCCUCAGGAUGGGUCUGCGGCCGAUUAGGUAGUUGUUGGGGUAACGGCCCAACAAGCCUGUGAUCGGUACGGGUUGUGGGAGCAAGAGCCCGGAGAUGGAUUCUGAGACACGAAUCCAGGCCCUACGGGGCGCAGCAGGCGCGAAAACUUUACAAUGCAGGAAACUGUGAUAAGGGAACCCCGAGUGCCUGUAUGGACAGGCUGUUCAGGUGCGUAAAAAACACCUGGAGAAAGGACCGGGCAAGACCGGUGCCAGCCGCCGCGGUAAUACCGGCGGUUCGAGUGGUGGCCACUAUUACUGGGCUUAAAGCGUCCGUAGCUGGGCAGUUAAGUCUCUGGGGAAAUCUUCCGGCUCAACCGGAAGGCGUCUCAGGGAUACUGGCUGCCUUGGGAUCGGGAGAGGUGAGAGGUACUCUGGGGGUAGGAGUGAAAUCCUGUUAUCCUUAGGGGACCACCUGUGGCGAAGGCGUCUCACCAGAACGACUCCGACAGUGAGGGACGAAAGCUGGGGGAGCAAACCGGAUUAGAWASCCGGGUAGUCCCAGCCGUAAACUAUGCGCGUUAGGUGUUUCGUGACCACGAGUUACCGAGGUGCCGARGGGAAACCGUGAAACGUGCCGCCCKGGAA